UACGUAGGGGGCAAGCGUUUUCCGGAUUUAUUGGGCGUAAAGAGCGUGUAGGCGGCUUCACAAGUCCGCUGUGCAAACUCGAGGCUCACCCUCGAGCUGUCGGUGGAAACUGUGUGGCUAGAGUCCGGAAGAGGAGAGUGGAAGUCCCGGUGUAGCGGUGAAAUGCGCAGAGAUCGGGAAGAACACCCGUGGCGAAGGCGGCUCUCUGGGACGGUACUGACGCUGAGACGCGAAAGCGUGGGGAGCGAACAGG
RNAcentral lists this ribosomal RNA (253 nucleotides) under uncultured bacterium. RNAcentral describes it as "partial 16S ribosomal RNA". It matches the Rfam family "Bacterial small subunit ribosomal RNA", at positions 524 to 776 of the family's 1533-position model. The record is from RNAcentral.